RNAcentral lists this ribosomal RNA (493 nucleotides) under uncultured Streptococcus sp. RNAcentral's name for it is "bacterial SSU rRNA". It matches the Rfam family "Bacterial small subunit ribosomal RNA", at positions 33 to 507 of the family's 1533-position model. The record is from RNAcentral. Lineage: Bacteria; Bacillati; Bacillota; Bacilli; Lactobacillales; Streptococcaceae.
CGACGCUGGCGGCGUGCCUAAUACAUGCAAGUAGAACGCUGAAGAGAGGAGCUUGCUCUUCUUGGAUGAGUUGCGAACGGGUGAGUAACGCGUAGGUAACCUGCCUGGUAGCGGGGGAUAACUAUUGGAAACGAUAGCUAAUACCGCAUAAAAUUGAUUAUUGCAUGAUAAUUAAUUGAAAGAUGCAACUGCAUCACUACCAGAUGGACCUGCGUUGUAUUAGCUAGUUGGUGAGGUAACGGCUCACCAAGGCGACGAUACAUAGCCGACCUGAGAGGGUGAUCGGCCACACUGGGACUGAGACACGGCCCAGACUCCUACGGGAGGCAGCAGUAGGGAAUCUUCGGCAAUGGGGGAACCCUGACCGAGCAACGCCGCGUGAGUGAAGAAGGUUUUCGGAUCGUAAAGCUCUGUUGUAAGAGAAGAACGGGUGUGAGAGUGGAAAGUUCACACUGUGACGGUAUCUUACCAGAAAGGGACGGCUAACUACGUG